This 772-nucleotide ribosomal RNA is filed under the name uncultured Bacteroidota bacterium. RNAcentral's name for it is "bacterial SSU rRNA". It matches the Rfam family "Bacterial small subunit ribosomal RNA", at positions 116 to 890 of the family's 1533-position model. Lineage: Bacteria; Pseudomonadati; Bacteroidota. The record is from RNAcentral.
CGUAUGCAAUCUACCUUUUGCAGAGGGAUAGCCCAGUAGAAAUUUGGAUUAAUACCUCAUAGUAUAGUACCUUGGCAUCAAGGAACUAUUAAAGUCACAACGGCAAAAGAUGAGCAUGCGUCCCAUUAGCUAGUUGGUAAGGUAACGGCUUACCAAGGCAACGAUGGGUAGGGGUCCUGAGAGGGAGAUCCCCCACACUGGUACUGAGACACGGACCAGACUCCUGCGGGAGGCAGCAGUGAGGAAUAUUGGACAAUGGGCGCAAGCCUGAUCCAGCCAUGCCGCGUGCAGGAUGACGGUCCUAUGGAUUGUAAACUGCUUUUGCACAGGAAGAAACAACGCUACGUGUAGCGUCUUGACGGUACUGUGAGAAUAAGGAUCGGCUAACUCCGUGCCAGCAGCCGCGGUAAUACGGAGGAUCCAAGCGUUAUCCGGAAUCAUUGGGUUUAAAGGGUCCGUAGGCGGUCUUAUAAGUCAGUGGUGAAAUCUCCCCGCUCAACGGGGAAACGGCCAUUGAUACUGUAGGACUUGAAUUAUUAGGAAGUAACUAGAAUAUGUAGUGUAGCGGUGAAAUGCUUAGAGAUUACAUGGAAUACCAAUUGCGAAGGCAGGUUACUACUAAUGGAUUGACGCUGAUGGACGAAAGCGUGGGUAGCGAACAGGAUUAGAUACCCUGGUAGUCCACGCCGUAAACGAUGGAUACUAGCUGUUGGGUGCAAACUCAGUGGCUAAGCGAAAGUGAUAAGUAUCCCACCUGGGGAGUACGUUCGCA